This is a non-coding RNA of Annulohypoxylon truncatum, 80 nucleotides long. Lineage: Eukaryota; Fungi; Ascomycota; Sordariomycetes; Xylariales; Hypoxylaceae. The record is from the annotation of a RefSeq genome assembly.
GGCAGGAUGGCCGAGUGGUAAGGCGCCAGUUUCAGGUCCUGGUGGAUUAGUCCUCGUGGGUUCGAAUCCCACUCCCGUCG